RNAcentral lists this ribosomal RNA (554 nucleotides) under uncultured Glomeromycotina. RNAcentral describes it as "SSU rRNA". It matches the Rfam family "Eukaryotic small subunit ribosomal RNA", at positions 548 to 1098 of the family's 1831-position model. Lineage: Eukaryota; Fungi; Glomeromycota. The record is from RNAcentral.
UUGGAGGGCAAGUCUGGUGCCAGCAGCCGCGGUAAUUCCAGCUCCAAUAGCGUAUAUUAAAGUUGUUGCAGUUAAAAAGCUCGUAGUUGAAUUUCGGGAUCAGUACGCUGGUCAUGCCUCCGGUAUGUACUGGUGUCACUGGUUCCUCCCUUCUGAAGAACCAUCAUGCUAUUAAUUUAGUGUGGUGGGAAAUCAGGACUGUUACUUUGAAAAAAUUAGAGUGUUUAAAGCAGGCUCACGCUUGAAUACAUUAGCAUGGAAUAAUGAAAUAGGACGUUGAUCCUAUUUUGUUGGUUUCUAGGAUUGACGUAAUGAUUAAUAGGGAUAGUUGGGGGCAUUAGUAUUCAAUUGUCAGAGGUGAAAUUCUUGGAUUUAUUGAAGACUAACUACUGCGAAAGCAUUUGCCAAGGAUGUUUUCAUUAAUCAAGAACGAAAGUUAGGGGAUCGAAGACGAUCAGAUUACCGUCGUAGUCUUUAACCAUAAACUAUGCCCGACUAGGGAUCGGAUGAUGUUAAAUUUUUUUAAUGACUCAUUUCGGCGCCUUACGGGAAAC